This 915-nucleotide ribosomal RNA is filed under the name uncultured bacterium. Its description in RNAcentral is "bacterial SSU rRNA". It matches the Rfam family "Bacterial small subunit ribosomal RNA", at positions 8 to 916 of the family's 1533-position model. The record is from RNAcentral.
AGAGUUUGAUCCUGGCUCAGGAUGAACGCUAGCGGCAGGCUAAUACAUGCAAGUCGGACGGGAUCUAAAAUUAAGCUUGCUUAAUUUUAGUGAGAGUGGCGCACGGGUGCGUAACGCGUGAGCAACCUACCCAUAUCAGGGGGAUAGCCCGAUGAAAAUCGGAUUAACACCGCACGACACAGCGACUCGGCAUCGAGAUGUUGUUAAAUAUUUAUAGGAUAUGGAUGGGCUCGCGUGACAUUAGCUAGUUGGUAAGGUAACGGCUUACCAAGGCAACGACGUCUAGGGGCUCUGAGAGGAGAAUCCCCCACACUGGUACUGAGACACGGACCAGACUCCUACGGGAGGCAGCAGUAAGGAAUAUUGGUCAAUGGAGGGAACUCUGAACCAACCAUGCCGCGUGCAGGAUGACUGCCCUAUGGGUUGUAAACUGCUUUUGUCCAGGAAUAAACCCCUCUACGUGUAGAGGCUUGAAUGUACUGGAAGGAUAAGGAUCGGCUAACUCCGUGCCAGCAGCCGCGGUAAUACGGAGGAUCCGAGCGUUAUCCGGAUUUAUUGGGUUUAAAGGGUGCGUAGGCGGCCUAUUAAGUCAGGGGUGAAAGACGGCAGCUUAACUGUCGCAGUGCCUUUGAUACUGAUGGGCUUGAAUGUGGUUGAAGAUGGCGGAAUGAGACAAGUAGCGGUGAAAUGCAUAGAUAUGUCUCAGAACUCCGAUUGCGAAGGCAGCUGUCUAAGUCAUUAUUGACGCUGAUGCACGAAAGCGUGGGGAUCGAACAGGAUUAGAUACCCUGGUAGUCCACGCCCUAAACGAUGAUAACUCGAUGUUGGCGAUAUACCGUCAGCGUCUUAGCGAAAGCGUUAAGUUAUCCACCUGGGGAGUACGCCCGCAAGGGUGAAACUCAAAGGAAUUGACGG